UACGUAGGGACCAAGCGUUGUUCGGAUUUACUGGGCGUAAAGGGCGCGUAGGCGGCAAUUCAAGUCAUCUGUGAAAUCUCCGGGCUUAACUCGGAACGGUCAGAUGAUACUGCUUUGCUAGAGUGCGGAAGGGGCAAUCGGAAUUCUCGGUGUAGCGGUGAAAUGCGUAGAUAUCGAGAGGAACACUUGCGGCGAAGGCGGGUAGCUGGGCCGACACUGACGCUGAUGCGCGAAAGCCAGGGGAGCGAACGGG
RNAcentral lists this ribosomal RNA (253 nucleotides) under uncultured prokaryote. RNAcentral describes it as "partial 16S ribosomal RNA". It matches the Rfam family "Bacterial small subunit ribosomal RNA", at positions 524 to 776 of the family's 1533-position model. The record is from RNAcentral.